UAGGGAAUAUUGGACAAUGGGGGCAACCCUGAUCCAGCCAUGCCGCGUGAGUGAAGAAGGCCCUCGGGUUGUAAAGCUCUUUUGUCCGGAAAGAAAAGCUUCGGGUUAAUACCCCGGGGUUCUGACGGUACCGGAAGAAUAAGCCCCGGCUAACUACGUGCCAGCAGCCGCGGUAAUACGUAGGGGGCAAGCGUUGUCCGGAUUUACUGGGUGUAAAGGGCGCGCAGGCGGGAUAAAAAGUCAGUGGUGAAAUCCUACAGCUUAACUGUAGAACUGCCUUUGAUACUUUUAUUCUUGAGUUCGGGAGAGAGAGACGGAAUUCCAGGUGUAGUGGUGAAAUACGUAGAUAUCUGGAAGAACACCAGUUGCGAAGGCGGUCUCUUGGUCCGACACUGACGCUGAGGCGCGAAAGCGUGGGGAGCAAACA
RNAcentral lists this ribosomal RNA (427 nucleotides) under uncultured bacterium. RNAcentral's name for it is "bacterial SSU rRNA". It matches the Rfam family "Bacterial small subunit ribosomal RNA", at positions 355 to 774 of the family's 1533-position model. The record is from RNAcentral.